RNAcentral lists this ribosomal RNA (276 nucleotides) under uncultured bacterium. Its description in RNAcentral is "partial 16S ribosomal RNA". It matches the Rfam family "Bacterial small subunit ribosomal RNA", at positions 82 to 354 of the family's 1533-position model. The record is from RNAcentral.
CCGUUGCCGGCGACCGGCGCACGGGUGAGUAACACGUAUGCAACCUGCCCGUGACAGGGGGAUAAGCGGGGGAAACCCCGUCUAAUACCGCGUAACGCGGCCUUGGGGCAUCCCAAGGCCGCCAAAGGGAGCAAUCCCGGCCACGGAUGGGCAUGCGGCGCAUUAGCUAGUCGGCGGGGUAACGGCCCACCGAGGCGACGAUGCGUAGGGGUUCUGAGAGGAAGGCCCCCCACACUGGUACUGAGACACGGACCAGACUCCUACGGAAGGCAGCAG